RNAcentral lists this transfer RNA (74 nucleotides) under Acidimicrobiales bacterium. RNAcentral's name for it is "tRNA-Gln". It matches the Rfam family "tRNA". From Rfam's summary of the family: Transfer RNA (tRNA) molecules are approximately 80 nucleotides in length. Their secondary structure includes four short double-helical elements and three loops (D, anti-codon, and T loops). Further hydrogen bonds mediate the characteristic L-shaped molecular structure. tRNAs have two regions of fundamental functional importance: the anti-codon, which is responsible for specific mRNA codon recognition, and the 3' end, to which the tRNAs corresponding amino acid is attached (by aminoacyl-tRNA synthetases). tRNAs cope with the degeneracy of the genetic code in two manners: having more than one tRNA (with a specific anti-codon) for a particular amino acid; and 'wobble' base-pairing, i.e. permitting non-standard base-pairing at the 3rd anti-codon position. Lineage: Bacteria; Bacillati; Actinomycetota; Acidimicrobiia; Acidimicrobiales. The record is from RNAcentral. RNAcentral also lists the same sequence under 3 other names.
UCGGGCAUCGUCUAAUGGUAGGACGUCAGGUUCUGGCCCUGAAAGUCGAGGUUCGAAUCCUUGUGCCCGAGCCA